AAGUGCUGGGAUUACAGGUGUGAGCCACCGUGCCCAGCCCUUACCUUUCUUUUUAAGAGGCGACUUCUCGCUCUGUCUCCCAGGCUAGAGUAUAGUGGUGCAAUCAUGGCUCACUGCAGCCUCAAACUCCCAGGUUCAAGUGAUCCUCCUGCUUCAGCCCCCCAAACGCUGGGAGUACAGGUGUGAGCCACCCUGCCCAGCCCCUUUCCUUACCUUUCUCUCUGACUUUGCCUCCUCCUCUUCUUGUUGUUUCAGAACAAAGGGACCCCGGUGAAACAGUAGGUGGAGAUGAGAUUAUGAUGGUCAUCAAAGACAGCCCGCAAACCAUCCCAACAUACACAGAUGCCCUGCAUGUUUAUUCCACGGUAGAGGGAUACAUCGCCUACCGACAUGAUCAGAAAGGCUCAUGCUUUAUCCAGACCCUGGUGGAUGUGUUCACGAAGAGGAAAGGACAUAUCUUGGAACUUCUGACAGAGGUGACCCGGCGGAUGGCAGAAGCAGAGCUGGUUCAGGAAGGAAAAGCAAGGAAAACGAACCCUGAAAUCCAAAGCACCCUCCGGAAACGGCUGUAUCUGCAGUAGAAGUAGAAAGACCGGGAGGAGCUUUCCUUCCAGCAUUCUUUCUGUCUCACAGAAAUUUAGAGGCAGCUCUUACCUCUCCCCAAGAUCUCUUCCCAAGGCUAAAUGGCACCCAGUUUCUUUUUCUUCACACCCUUCAUGCAGGUCCUCCUGUCCUUCUCAGAGCAAGCCAGCCAAAACUUAGCAUAA
This 767-nucleotide small RNA is filed under the name Pan troglodytes (chimpanzee). RNAcentral's name for it is "retained intron". Lineage: Eukaryota; Metazoa; Chordata; Mammalia; Primates; Hominidae. The record is from RNAcentral.